CGCGUAGGCGGUCUCUUAAGUCAGAUGUGAAAGCCCGGGGCUUAACCCCGGAAGUGCAUUUGAAACUAAGGGACUUGAGUAUGGGAGAGGGAAGUGGAAUUCCUGGUGUAGAGGUGAAAUUCGUAGAUAUCAGGAGGAACACCGGUGGCGAAGGCGACUUCCUGGACCAAUACUGACGCUGAGGCGCGAAGGCGUGGGGAGCAAACAGGAUUAGAUACCCUGGUAGUC
This 228-nucleotide ribosomal RNA is filed under the name uncultured bacterium. RNAcentral's name for it is "partial 16S ribosomal RNA". It matches the Rfam family "Bacterial small subunit ribosomal RNA", at positions 568 to 795 of the family's 1533-position model. The record is from RNAcentral.